UGAUAUUCCAGGAGGGAUAAGCCAAAUGGCAAAUGAUUUAGGUCCGUGGUUUCCAACAUUUUUUCACUUGAGUACCCCUUGGCAGCCCAUUUCCAUAAAUUGUACCCCUCAUAUUAGUGACAUUUUUAUUAUUACAAUAGUUGCUGGUAUUUCAAAUGUAUAUGCUCCAGACUCCCCAGUUUUUCUAUCCCAGGCUCCCUCUGCUUCUCCUCUG
Non-coding RNA from Pelobates cultripes (western spadefoot toad), 214 nucleotides. NCBI's taxonomy places the organism in Eukaryota, Metazoa, Chordata, Amphibia, Anura, Pelobatidae. The record is from the annotation of a GenBank genome assembly.